RNAcentral lists this ribosomal RNA (255 nucleotides) under uncultured bacterium. RNAcentral's name for it is "partial 16S ribosomal RNA". It matches the Rfam family "Bacterial small subunit ribosomal RNA", at positions 524 to 776 of the family's 1533-position model. The record is from RNAcentral.
GACGUAGGUGGCGAACGUUAUCCGGAAUUAUUGGGCGUAAAGGAUGCGUAGAUGGUGUAGUAAGUUAUCGGUGGCAAAUCGAGGCUCAACCUCGUGGAAGUCGGUAAUACUGCUAUGCUAGAGGAUAGGAGAGGUUAACGGAACUCCCUGUGGAGCGGUGAAAUGCGUAGAUAUAGGGAAGAACACCAAUAAGGCGAAGGCAGUUAACCAUUCUACUCCUGACAUUGAGGCAUGAAAGCGUGGGGAGCAAAACGG